UGGCGGGGGACUUACAAAAUGGUGCAGAUUGGACUUUCUUGCCUUCUACUUUAAUAUAAAAGAAAGAGGGGCGUUGUUGAUUAUCUGGCUGUUUCCUGUCGAAUUACGGGCACUGUAACCAGGGUUUGGAUUUUGAAGUAGUGGGUGUUCGACUUUAGAGUUGUUUUCCUGGAAGCGCUGAUACUGGACUUAGUGGAGGAGAACGAUGGUAUCAAUGUGUUUCUGGAUGACUGCCUGGACAAGGGAGUUCAGCUUUUGGGAGAUUGACUGGGCUAUGAAGUGUACCUUUCUACUCUGCAGAGGCUGGAAAGGCAAAAAUGAUGGCUAAGGCUUCCUUGCAGCCGCUGAUACAGAAGCCUGAGGGAACACACUCCCCCUACGUCCUUCUCCAACACAGCAGAGCCAGGAAGGACCCGGAUGGAAGUUAGGACAAAGAGGCCCAGAAUUGGCACAGAUACCAACAGACCAUUCGUUGAAGAAGAAAUCCAAAUGGCCAUAAGAACCCCAGAGAUGAAAGGCCUCCUCCCACUGGCUUGGUUCCUGGCUUGUAGUGUGCCUACUGUGCAAGGAGGCUUGCUGGACCUAAAAUCAAUGAUCGAGAAGGUGACAGGGAAGAACGCCCUGACAAACUACGGCUUCUACGGCUGUUACUGCGGCUGGGGCGGCCGAGGAACCCCCAAGGAUGGCACCGAUUGGGUCUCACUCUGGUUGCCCAGGCUGGUGUGCAAUGAUGCGAUCUCAGCUCACUGCAUCCUCGACCUUCUGCACUCAGAUGAUUCUCCCACCUCAGCCUCCUGAGUAGCUGGGACUGCAGGUGCUGUUGGGCGCAUGACCACUGCUAUGGGCGGCUGGAGGAGAAGGGCUGCAACAUUCGCACACAGUCCUACAAAUACAGAUUCGCGUGGGGCGUGGUCACCUGCGAGCCCGGGCCCUUCUGCCAUGUGAAGCUCUGUGCCUGUGACCGGAAGCUCGUCUACUGCCUCAAGAGAAACCUACGGAGCUACAACCCACAGUACCAAUACUUUCCCAACAUCCUCUGCUCCUAGGCCUCCCCAGCGAGCUCCUCCCAGACCAAGACUUUUGUUCUGUUUUUCUACAACACAGAGUACUGACUCUGCCUGGUUCCUGAGAGAGGCUCCUAAGUCACAGACCUCAGUCUUUCUUGAAGCUUGGCGGACCCCCAGGGCCACACUGUACCCUCCAGCGAGUCCCAGGAGAGUGACUCUGGUCAUAGGACUUGGUAGGGUCCCAGGGUCCCUAGGCCUCCACUUCUGAGGGCAGCCCCUCUGGUGCCAAGAGCUCUCCUCCAACUCAGGGUUGGCUGUGUCUCUUUUCUUCUCUGAAGACAGCGUCCUGGCUCCAGUUGGAACACUUUCCUGAGAUGCACUUACUUCUCAGCUUCUGCGAUCAGAUUAUCAUCACCACCACCCUCCAGAGAAUUUUUACGCAAGAAGAGCCAAAUUGACUCUUUAAAUCUGGUGUAUGGGUAUUAAAUAAAAUUCAUUCUCAAGG
Molecule: small RNA, 1512 nt
Filed under: Pan troglodytes (chimpanzee)
Lineage: Eukaryota; Metazoa; Chordata; Mammalia; Primates; Hominidae
Description: processed transcript
Source: RNAcentral